GCCCAGGUGGCGGAAUUGGUAGACGCGCUAGCUUCAGGUGCUAGUGCCCGAAAUGGGCGUGGAGGUUCGAGUCCUCUUCUGGGCACCA
This 88-nucleotide transfer RNA is filed under the name Paracoccaceae bacterium. Its description in RNAcentral is "Rhodobacteraceae bacterium tRNA-Leu". It matches the Rfam family "tRNA". Rfam says of the family: Transfer RNA (tRNA) molecules are approximately 80 nucleotides in length. Their secondary structure includes four short double-helical elements and three loops (D, anti-codon, and T loops). Further hydrogen bonds mediate the characteristic L-shaped molecular structure. tRNAs have two regions of fundamental functional importance: the anti-codon, which is responsible for specific mRNA codon recognition, and the 3' end, to which the tRNAs corresponding amino acid is attached (by aminoacyl-tRNA synthetases). tRNAs cope with the degeneracy of the genetic code in two manners: having more than one tRNA (with a specific anti-codon) for a particular amino acid; and 'wobble' base-pairing, i.e. permitting non-standard base-pairing at the 3rd anti-codon position. Lineage: Bacteria; Pseudomonadati; Pseudomonadota; Alphaproteobacteria; Rhodobacterales; Paracoccaceae. The record is from RNAcentral.